RNAcentral lists this non-coding RNA (750 nucleotides) under Anthribidae sp. 2 ACP-2013. The record is from RNAcentral. Lineage: Eukaryota; Metazoa; Arthropoda; Insecta; Coleoptera; Anthribidae.
UAUUUUUUUUUUAUAUGUAAAUUUUUGUAAAAUUAGAUUUUUAAAUAAAAAUUAAUUUUUUAGCAGUAAAAAAUUUUAAAUUUUAAAGAGAUUUUGAUUUAGAAAUGAAUAAUAAUAGUAAUAUAAUUUGUGCCAGCAAUUGCGGUUAAACAGAUAAUAUAAGUAAAAUUUAUUAGUGUUAAUUAAUAAGAAUUAUAAAUUUAAAAAUUUAAAUUUUUAGGUGAAAUUUAAAUUUAAUUAAAAAUUUGUUUUUUAUUAUGAAGUUAAAAAAUUUUUUAAUUAAACUGGGAUUAGAUACCCCAUUAUGAAAAGUGUAAAUUUGUCAUUAAGUUAUUUAUAGUUAUGAUCUUAAAAGUUAAAAAUUUUGGCGGUAUUUUAGUCUAUUUAGAGGAACCUGUUUUGUAAUUGAUAGUCCACGAUUUAUUUAACUUUUAUUAAAAUUUUCAUAUCGUUGUAAAAAAUAUUUUUAAAGAAUUAAAAUAUUUAAGAUUUAAAUUAUAAAAUAUUUCAAAUCAAGAUGAAGUUUAUAUAAAAGAAGUAAUGGGUUACAAUAAUUUUUAUUAUGGAAGAUUAAUUGAAAAUUAAUUUUGAAAUUGGAUUUAAAAGUAAUAUUUUUAAAAUAAAUAAAAUGAUUUUUAGCUCUAAAAUAUGUACAUAUUGCCCGUCGCUUUCGUUAUAAAAUGAAAUAAGUCGUAACAAAGUAGAAGUACUGGAAAGUGUUUCUAGAAUCAAAUUAGAGCUAAGAUUAGU